GAUGAGAACGUAGUGAAAUGCGAUAAGUAGUGUGAAUUGCAGAAUUCAGUGAAUCAUCGAAUCUUUGAACGCACAUUGCGCCCUUUGGUAUUCCUUAGGGCAUGCCUGUUCGAGCGUCAUUUAAACCUUCAAGCUCAGCUUGGUGUUGGGUGACUGUCCGCCGCCUCCGGGCGGUCGGACUCGCCUCAAAUUGAUUGGCGGCCGGUACUUUGGCUUCGAGCGCAGCAGAAACGCGAACUCGAGGCCGUCGUCCUGGCUCCCAGAAGCUAUCUUCACAAUUUUGACCUCGGAUCAGGUAGGGAUACCCGCUGAACUUAAGCAUAUCAAUAAGCGGAGGA
Molecule: unclassified non-coding RNA, 338 nt
Filed under: soil metagenome
Description: partial contains 5.8S ribosomal RNA, internal transcribed spacer 2, and large subunit ribosomal RNA
Rfam family: 5.8S ribosomal RNA (bases 5-119)
Source: RNAcentral